GCUGCCAGUUGCCAACGGGUGAAGCCGGGCACUCUGCGGGACUGCCAUCGACAAGAUGGAGGAAGUGGGGAUGACGUCAAGUCAUCAUGGCCCUUAUGUCCAGGGCGACACACGUGCUACAAUGGCCGGCACAGCGGGAAGCGAGGCAGUGAUGCCAAGCGGAUCCCUUAAAGCCGGUCUCAGUUCGGAUUGAAGUCUGCAACUCGACUUCAUGAAGCUGGAAUCGCUAGUAAUCGCAGAUCAGCCAAGCUGCGGUGAAUACGUUCCCGGGCCUU
Molecule: ribosomal RNA, 275 nt
Filed under: uncultured Synergistaceae bacterium
Lineage: Bacteria; Thermotogati; Synergistota; Synergistia; Synergistales; Synergistaceae
Description: partial 16S ribosomal RNA
Rfam family: Bacterial small subunit ribosomal RNA
Source: RNAcentral